UAAAGGGUGCGUAGGCGGCCUGUUAAGUCAGAGGUGAAAGACGGUAGCUCAACUAUCGCAGUGCCUUUGAUACUGAUGGGCUUGAAUGGACUAGAGGUAGGCGGAAUGAGACAAGUAGCGGUGAAAUGCAUAGAUAUGUCUCAGAACACCGAUUGCGAAGGCAGCUUACUAUGGUUUUAUUGACGCUGAGGCACGAAAGCGUGGGGAUCAAACAGGAUUAGAUACCCAGU
Molecule: ribosomal RNA, 230 nt
Filed under: uncultured bacterium
Lineage: Bacteria
Description: partial 16S ribosomal RNA
Rfam family: Bacterial small subunit ribosomal RNA
Source: RNAcentral